Long non-coding RNA from Triticum aestivum (bread wheat), 4873 nucleotides. RefSeq lists it as uncharacterized. Lineage: Eukaryota; Viridiplantae; Streptophyta; Magnoliopsida; Poales; Poaceae. The transcript is spliced from 11 exons. The record is from RefSeq and is a predicted model, not a curated record.
CCAGCUCCUCCCGCCUCACUGCCUCCUCCUCUCCCCUCCCGCGCGCCUCCUCUCCCCUCCCCUCCCACGCGCCUCUCUCCUCCCACCCACAUCGCCGCCGCCGCCACCCACCGCCUCGAACCGCGCCGUCGGCGGCCAGAUCCGCUGCAACAGAGCCCCCCCCCCCCCCCCCACCCUCCCCGGCCGACGGGAAGAGCGUAGGAACCAGAUCCCAUCUGAUAGAAGGAGGCGCAUGGGGUGUGGGGUGCUCCAUUCUGGGAGAGGAAGACUGAGGGGACCAGACCCAUCUCACAGAAGGAGGCGCAUGGGGUGUGGGGUGCUCGACCCCGAUUCGUCAAGGAGCACGAUGGCUCGCCACGAUCUGCAAUGGCCUGACGAACGAGGCGAUCCUUGGAAGCAGCACGUACACCUCUCUCUCUCUCUCUCUCUCACUCAGAUUCCAAGUGUAGCUCUGAUUGGGGAAAAGUGGAAGAUGGUUAUCCAGGAGUUCGCCGUCGAUCUCAACAAGCCACUUGUUUUCCAGGUUGGCCACCUUGAGGAACAUUACCAGGAAUGGGUUCACCAGCCUGUCGUGAGCAAAGAAGGUCCACACUUUUUCGCAAAUGAUACCAUGGAGUUCUUGACACGCACAAAGUGGUGGGCUGUGCCAGUCAUAUGGCUACCUGCAGUCUGCUGGCUGUUUGCCAAGUCGAUACGGAUGGGUCACACCAUUCAGGAAGUAAUCCUGAUGGCCCUAUUUGGAGUGUUUGUGUGGACGUUGAUCGAGUACAGUUUGCACCGCUUCCUGUUCCACAUCGAGAGGAAAAGCUAUUGGUAAGAGCUUAUCAACCUUGACCUGGCAAUGUUUUUAUCGGGAUUCUCCUCAUGCUUGUAAAUUGCACCACCAUGGUCCUUCGAAGGCAAGCCCACUUCUUGAGGCCUACUUAUUAUUUCUAUUGUUGCUAAUCUUUUUCCCCAUUGACACCUCUACCAGAUCAGCCGUAGCAGCGAAGCCGAACUCCUAAGAAAAUAAGAGGUGGGCAAGAACAGAAGAGAGAUGUAGUGCUUCUGUACUGAUAUCGGUUUGCAUCUAUACUGACUAGAAAAUGAGAGUGAGAGAGAGAGAGAGCUUUGGUACUGAUAUUUGUUGAGAGAGAGAGAGAGAGUACGAAGUGACAUAGGUAUUAAUUAUAAAGUGAAAACCUUCCUUCUGAAUACACUGUUAUACUGUACCAUUUUGCUUUGGUGUCUCCAACCACCUUCCUUUUUUUGAUAAUACAACCAUAUUAGGCAGUACUAUUCAGCUCACAUCUUCAAAUGUUAUUCAGCAGACACAAGCAUGACUAAUUAUGUGUAUGAAAGCAUCUGUUGAUGUAUCACCUUCGACUGCUUCCAUGUUUUUCUCAGCCUCCCCACUUCACGAGUGCCAGCCUGCGAAGUACCCUUCCCUCCAAGAGUUCUUAUCAAGCUUUCUUCAUACUUACUGUUGUUGAACAUUCCGGGUGAAAAAAACCUCAUGUAGAUUGCCGAUUAAGAGCUCAGCUAGAGCUGACCUUGAUUAAGAUUCCUUUUUGUUAUAGAUUCUUUACAUGUUCAAGUAAAUUAAUUUCUGAUAGAGCAGGGAGGUGAGACACAUCCUGAGACAUGACAGAUUGAUGGAUGGAGAGCUAGCUAGGUGCACCACCACUGUAAUAAACUUUGAGUAAUCAGACAAUCUGAAUGCACUGCUUAAACUUUAGCAAUCAGCAAUCCAUAGCAACAUGUCAUUCUCUUUCAUUAGUGCCACUGCAUGCCUGACCCUCCUGUAGGUUGUUUCAUUGACUAUUUAGAUUGAUUUAAUUAUGUAAGAAGCCAAUUAUUUGUUAUGGAGUAUGUCGUGCUGCAUUAUUUCUAAGUUCAUAUUCUAUUCAAAAGCACUUCAUCGAUAUGAUAAAAAGGUUCAUAAUAGAAUAUGUUACUUCAUUUCUAGGUGUAAUAAGGGUCCAUAUUUUGUUGUAUUAACUAGAGCACCAUGGACACCUCAGCCAUCAUUCUUUCUAGGUUGGGCAUACAUAAAUAAAUAGCACUCUUGGUUUCAAAGUGUAUGUUUCAUGGGCCUUGGUUUAAUUUAAGAGAUUCCUAGCAGACUCUUUUUAUCCGACGGCCGAUUUUGGAUCAUAGUUUCAACUUUAAGCCAAGAAGAUGACUAAUUGCUGAUCGGUUAUGGUACAUGGGGGAUUGCUGUGUCUCCUGGCAAGCUGUGUAAUUUCGUACGGGUGUGUGCUGACCUUGUUUUGAUCUUACUGAUGCAGGGUAAGGAGGUAAAAGUCGCGGGUGGUCAGGGCUGCCAGAUAUGUGGUGACACUGUUGACGUUUCGGCCACCGGCGAUGUCUUUGUCGCCUGCAAUGAGUGCGCCUUCCCGGUCUGCCGCCCUUGCUAUGAGUACGAACGCAAGGAUGGGGUCAAAUGUUGUCCUCAGUGCAAGACUAGAUACAAGAGGCCGAAAGGUAGCCCCCGAGUUCCGGGAGAUGAGGAGGAAGAAGAUGUUGAUGACCUGGACAAUGAGUUCAACUACAAGCAAGGGAAUGGCAAAGGUCCAGAGUGGCAGCUGCAGGGUCAAGGAGAAGACAUUGAUUUGUCUUCAUCCUCUCGUCAUGAACCUAAUCAUCGUAUUCCUCGUCUGACAAGUGGACAACAGGGAAAUCCCUGAUGCUUCCCCUGAUCGCCACUCUAUCCGCAGCCCAACAUCAAGCUAUGUCGAUCCAAGUGUCCCAGUUCCUGUGAGGAUUGUGGACCCUUCGAAGGACUUGAACUCCUAUGGGCUUAACAGUGUUGACUGGAAGGAAAGAGUUGAAAGCUGGAGAGUUAAGCAGGACAAAAACAUGAUGCAGGUGACCAAUAAAUAUCCAGAUGCAAGAGGAGGGGGAGGAGAUAUGGAAGGAACUGGCUCAAAUGGUUAAGAUAUGCAAAUUGCUGUUGCAGUUUAAUGUCGAUUGGAAAUGACUCAAUGAAACAAAGAUAUUUGUACUACUGCGCGGCAUUGGAUCUGGGGUUUGGUCGUCUGGUCACUGGAUCUGGAGUCGCCGUAAAGCCAUGGAGAAGAUUCAUCCCGGACCUCCCACUACUGCUGCCGCUGCCGCAUCUCCUAGCUCCUGAACGACCAACAUCGCUACUCCAUGGGAUUCCGAUUCGCCGUCAUGCGAUUCUGCUGGAUGCAGUGCACCGGAUCCGGCAGGCGGUGGGGCUCGCCUGCGGCCUGCUAUGGGGCGUCGUUUCCCUCGUCGGCGUCUUCUGGAUCGCCCGGUGUAUUUAUUCAUGGAUUGGUUGCUGAUAGUGGAUUGUCGAGGGGCGUCAUCUUCUACGCUCGUCUCUCUUGCUGGCUUGCCCAUUCCUCUACUCAAGUAUGGAUGGAGGCGAGCAGAAAGGUAGUACGGGUUGGGCCUUGGUUUUCUAUAGCAUCAUGACUGUGAUUUCCCUCUACAACCGGGCGUCCCACUGUCUAUAUAUGAAUAUUUAGUUGAGGAAUGCAUAGCUCUGUUGUUAUCUAUAUCUGAGUAUUAGUGAGCUGAUGAAUUGAUUAUAAGAGAUUACCAGAGGGUAGAGUCAUUUGCUGCAUGUAUAGAUAUAUACAUAUGAUGAUUUUCAUUCAACCAUGAGGUGAGGAAAUGCCAUAAGGUACUGCAAUGUUGGCAUGCAUGCUAACUUCUUGAUAUUUUGUGUCAGCUAUGUUGCGUUGUGUUUGCUCUCACGAUCCAAGUUUUGACGAAUUGUUUAAGUUUAAGGUGUGUUGGUUUGAUUUAUCUAAAAAAGUCAUACCUGCCCUUUCUCCUUUCAGUCAUAUACACCUCAUUUAUGCAAGUGAGACAAUUGAAUUCAGUAAAUAGUCUAUUCAUAACUAGGCUCAAUCUCAGAUAUACUACAAGCACGAGUUUGCAAAGGGUUUAAAACUCGGCUAUUUUAGAACAUGGUCCAAUGGAACUGUCAUAUGCAUUUUAUAUUAUUUUAAUCUUCCACCAAUUUACUUUGUUAGUAGCAAAAGGUAUCAUGGGAUUUAAUGGAUGAUACUCAUCAUGAGAGUAAGAGAGUAAAGAGUAGGUGUGAUACAUAAUUACAGUAUGUUUGUAGUCAGACUGCAUAUUUACACCAGUUUUAUUUUGGUGUAAGGUAUCAUGGGAUUUACUUUCUAUAAGUAUGCCAAGGAUAUCUUUUCCUGUGGCCCUUUUUGGCAAUUUUAGCAUGUUAUGUUAAGGCAUAUGGGUAAUACUGAUAAUAUUACAUAUAUUAGGUGCUUGUGCACACGUUACUUCUGCGGCAUAAUUGUCUCACAAGUAAAUUUGAAAUGAAUCUUUUGUUGAUCUUCAGUUGGCAGCCCCUCACUGUUGCACAUUGCUGCAUUUGUAGUACCCCAAGCUGGUCCAAGUAGAGGACAAAAGGUGGUUAUCUCUUUUGUUGCAGCUAAUAUAUAUGAUUGAUUAAUGUCCACAGAUUUUUGCUGAAAUGAUCAUGAGAUAUUAUGUCUGACAAAAUGCUCAUGAGAGGAUAAGGUGCAUAGGUCACACAGAACACUAUCUGUAAUAAAGAGCAAGGUUUCCUUAUGGUGUCGAGUGUUCUGUGCUGCCUAUUGUUACCAGCUUCUUCCUUUGUUUGCUAACUAUUGUUGCUCAUGCAUUGCUGUCAUUCCAAGGUACCAUAUUUCUGUAAGCAUUUGGGGCUUCAGGUUCAAUCAUCGGAGGGGGACUGUGUAUCACAUGAGGAAUGCAGUGACAAAAGAGCAUGUUACUUUAUUGGAGGAGCUGUGAUUUUCUUCUUUUAAUAGAUCAGUCUUGCACUCAGUCGUCGAUGAAGUAUUCACGUGUACAGUUUACUAUGUUUGGACUGCAGCUCCUAAUAUAAUUUGUCUUUGUUUAAUGUCUA